AGUGAACGCUGGCGGUAGGCCUAACACAUGCAAGUCGAACGGCAGCACAGUAAGAGCUUGCUCUUACGGGUGGCGAGUGGCGGACGGGUGAGGAAUACAUCGGAAUCUACUUUUUCGUGGGGGAUAACGUAGGGAAACUUACGCUAAUACCGCAUACGACCUACGGGUGAAAGCAGGGGAUCUUCGGACCUUGCGCGAUUGAAUGAGCCGAUGUCGGAUUAGCUAGUUGGCGGGGUAAAGGCCCACCAAGGCGACGAUCCGUAGCUGGUCUGAGAGGAGGAUCAGCAACACUGGAGCUGAGACACGGACCAGACCCCUACGGGAGGCAGCGGUGGGAACUAUUGGACAAGGGGCGAAAGCCUAAUCCAGCCAUACCGCGUAGGUGAAGAAGGCCUUCGGGUUGUAAAGCCCUUUUGUUGGGAAAGAAAAGCAGCAGGUUAAUACCCCGCUGUUCUGAGGGUACCGAAAGAAUAAGCACCGGCAAACUGGGU
Molecule: ribosomal RNA, 491 nt
Filed under: uncultured bacterium
Lineage: Bacteria
Description: partial 16S ribosomal RNA
Rfam family: Bacterial small subunit ribosomal RNA
Source: RNAcentral